Molecule: non-coding RNA, 30 nt
Filed under: Homo sapiens (human)
Lineage: Eukaryota; Metazoa; Chordata; Mammalia; Primates; Hominidae
Source: RNAcentral
UACAUAUGGGGCCCAUCACAUUCCCACUGA